GGAGAACUCCCGUCUCUCUCCUAGGGUUUCGUGGAGGAGGCACAGUUCUUCAAUGGAUCGGGAAGCGAUGGAUCAGUGGAGGCAUCAAAUCGAAAGCUGGGUCCGGCAACAGCCGCCGGAGCAGAUCUAUCUCGCGGCGGCGCUCAUCGUCCUGACCUCGCUCUUCUUUAUCCUCCUCCGUUGUUUGAGACGCUCCAAGUCCAAUACUAUUGUUAUUGCCGGGUUAAGUGGCAGUGGGAAAACGG
This 245-nucleotide unclassified non-coding RNA is filed under the name Hevea brasiliensis (rubber tree). The record is from RNAcentral. Lineage: Eukaryota; Viridiplantae; Streptophyta; Magnoliopsida; Malpighiales; Euphorbiaceae.